This is a long non-coding RNA of Limulus polyphemus (Atlantic horseshoe crab), 380 nucleotides long. RefSeq lists it as uncharacterized. The transcript has 2 exons. The record is from RefSeq and is a predicted model, not a curated record. NCBI's taxonomy places the organism in Eukaryota, Metazoa, Arthropoda, Merostomata, Xiphosura, Limulidae.
UAACAGAUGAAGGCCGGUUUGGUGGUUAUCUGUUUUGUACUUUCUGUUGCAUUUUGCUAUGCUGAUGUAAACUGUGGAUCUAUAUUCACUUGCUCUGAUGGUCACACGUGCUGCCCUCACUCGGUCGAAACCUUCGUGUGUUGUCCUGCGACUAACGCUGUUUGCUGCGGCGAUUCUAAUUUUUGUUGUCCUAGUGGCACUUCAUGUGAUUACUCUAAACAGGCUUGCACUACAGGGUACGAAAGUAUUUUUGCUAAAUUGAAAACGUAUCGUCCUCAUUAAUAAACUAAAAAUUUACUUACUAGUGUUUGUAACAGAGAAAAAAGUAUUUACUGUUUUGGAUUUCCUUGAAAAUAAAAACAAAGCAAAUUAUUAAUGAA